AUGAACGCUGGCGGCGUGCCUAAUACAUGCAGGUCGAGCGAACAGAUGAGGAGCUUGCUCCUCUGACGUUAGCGGCGGACGGGUGAGUAACACGUGGAUAACCUACCUAUAAGACUGGGAUAACUUCGGGAAACCGGAGCUAAUACCGGAUAAUAUAUUGAACCGCAUGGUUCAAUAGUGAAAGACGGUUUUGCUGUCACUUAUAGAUGGAUCCGCGCCGCAUUAGCUAGUUGGUAAGGUAACGGCUUACCAAGGCAACGAUGCGUAGCCGACCUGAGAGGGUGAUCGGCCAAACUGGAACUGAGACACGGUCCAGACUCCUACGGGAGGCAGCAGUAGGGAAUCUUCCGCAAUGGGCGAAAGCCUGACGGAGCAACGCCGCGUGAGUGAUGAAGGUCUUCGGAUCGUAAAACUCUGUUAUUAGGGAAGAACAAAUGUGUAAGUAACUAUGCACGUCUUGACGGUACCUAAUCAGAAAGCCACGGCUAACUACGUG
This 496-nucleotide ribosomal RNA is filed under the name uncultured bacterium. RNAcentral describes it as "partial 16S ribosomal RNA". It matches the Rfam family "Bacterial small subunit ribosomal RNA", at positions 29 to 507 of the family's 1533-position model. The record is from RNAcentral.